RNAcentral lists this long non-coding RNA (3815 nucleotides) under Medicago truncatula (barrel medic). Its description in RNAcentral is "long non-coding RNA (MTRU_LNC004974)". Lineage: Eukaryota; Viridiplantae; Streptophyta; Magnoliopsida; Fabales; Fabaceae. The record is from RNAcentral.
AUUAUCAGAGUAAACAUCAUAAACGGGAUAUCACAUUCAAACAUAAUCCAAAAAUCAAUUAAAUAACAAUUUAACUUUCAACAAAAUAUCGUAAACAAUGCAGCGGAAAUUCAAUCGAAAUCCAUAAAAUCGUUUUGCCACGUAGGCCCCAUCAAAAUAUCUUAAAAGAGAGUUAAUCAAUAACAUAAAUAACAUAAUUGUUCACGUAAGAGAAUGAAGCAUGCAUAUCAUAAACCCCAUCCUGUUACGUAUCAGAGCGACCUAGACGACACAGUGAGGCAAGGCCACUCACGACAGCAAUAUGCACACUAAGCUCGAUCACCUGCAAGUUACUCAUACGAAGAGCAACAUUUCCAAGCAGAAGGGGUGAGAUUUCACAAAACAAUAAUAUUAAUCAAUAUAAUUCAACAAUUAUAAUUAACAACAUAAACAUCUUAAACAUCAUAGUAUCAUUGAUAAACAAAUAUCAGAUAAUCACUUAUUCAAAACAUCUUAAACAAAAUAACAUUUUUCAUCAAUUGACUCGACAAUGAGACAAUGCAACUUAGACCUCUUAUAUGCAUGUGGUAGCAUUACAGGGCAUGAGCCCCCAUCAUCAUAAUAUUAAUAUACUUUAAGCAUCGUGGGGAGGACAAAGCUCCAAUCGUGGUGAGGACAAAGCUCAAUUCGUGGUGAGGACAAAGCUCAAUGUAUGCUAAUGCAUGGACUCAAUCAUCUAAACAUCUUAAUCAUCAAUCUCUCAUACAUCCAAUAAUUUGGAGUUCAUCAUCAUCUUAUUCAGACUCAUGCAACUUAGUUAAAUAACGAUAGCAGCAUAAUCAGAUCACAUCAACAGCUUAAUAUCAAUUCAUUUUCAACAACUUUUUUAUCAUUCAAUAAUAAUUCAAGUAAUGCAAUCAAUUAAUAAAUCACAUUAUAAUCACUUAGCAUUUCAUAAUAGCUUCACAGUUUUCAGUUAACAUCCUAAAUAGGUCUCACUAUAACCUAAAGUUCCAUUCCUAAUCAAUUCAAGCACCUAAAGCCUCAAACUUCUCAAAUGCACUCAGUUUUGGAAGUGCUCGCGAGGCGAGAGCAUCUGCUCGCCAUGGCGAGUACUUGCCAGAUUUCCAACUAAGGUUGUUUCCAGGUUCAAUCUUGUUCUAAAACAUCCUCUAAUCUUUAGUAAACAUCUAAAGGUACUCAAAAGCAUCUAAGGUUCAACUCAAAAGUCAAAAACUCAGAAUUCGACAUGCUCUCUGUGGCGAGCUACGACAUGUAACUCGCGAGGCGAGGGGUAUUGGCUCGCGUGGCGAGCGAUGAACUUAUCACUCGCGAGGCGAGGUUCAUUGCUCACUAUGGCGAGCGAUGAAUGUAGGCUCGGGUAGAAUGCAAUUUUUACGAAAAAUACAUGAUUUCACAUGGUUCUAAGCCUAAUUUCAAUUCCAGAAUUCAUUCUAAACAUAAUCUAAGGUCAAGGGACGUUUUCUACAACAAUCUAACAACUUAUCAUCAUCGGAUCAUUAAAUUAUCUUAUUAACCCUAAUUUCAAAACCUUUCUAAUUCAAUCCUAACUUUGUUUAUUAAUCAUCAGAAUCAUAAGGAUCAAUAUUACUGAAUCAUUAGUCUCACCCUUACCUUAAUUGAAGAAAUCGCAGCUCUCCUAGGUGUUUUUGCUCUUCUCUUGGUUUUUCCUCCUUUUCUCCAAAAACAGUCGUACGUACUAAUUUUCUGCAAACCUAGGUCUUCCUUUUUAUAUCUCCUCCUAAUAUCUUAUCUUAUCUCACUUUCUCCCCCAAAACUCUUUAAAAUCUCAAAACAGCCCUCAACUAAAUAUUUUAUUUUAUUUUCAAAUCUUAUUUUAUUUAACAAUAAAAUAAGUCUCAUAAUCUCAUCAAAACAUCAAAACACAUCAAAAUCUUCCAAAUCAUCUAAAUCGUCAUAAUUCAUCAAAAAUCAGACAUAUAUUAUAUAAAUAUAAUAUAACUUGCCUAGACUCGAUUAAAUAAUUAAUUAAACGAAAGUGGACGUUACACAACAUUUCAUGUGGUUUUGCAUGCACAAUGCAAUCCCAACUAAUAAGCUUCGAUAUCACUACAACUUGGCAACUUCUCCGGUUUGCCAGCAAUGUGGAAAAUACGAUGAAGAUGUGCUUCACUACCUUGGUGAUAUUGGUUUUGGAGGUUUACUUCGUGAUAACAAGGGAAAUUGGAUAGCUGGAUUCUCUUCUAAUGAUGGGCAAGGGGAUGCGCUUUUCGCUGAGCUAUUUGGGGUUUACCAUGGUUUGAUGUUGGUAAUCAACAACUCUAUUCAACGAAUUAUUUGCGAAACAUAUUCUUUGGAAGUCUUCCGUCUUCUUCAAGAUCUAGAUCACUCUCAUAUGCAUGUGUAUGCCUCUUUGUUGGUGAAGAUUUUUGGGUUAAAGGAGCAUAUUUGUAACAUUUCUCUCCAACAUGUGCUUCGAGAGGGCAACCAUUGCGCAUAUUUUUUGGCCAAGCUCGGGAGCUCUUCAAGAUUAGGUGUGACUUUUUGGCAUGUUCCCCCAUCGGAGUUGAAGUCAGUCUUGAGGCUUGAUGCCCCAGGCUGAGCCCUGUUUUUAGGUUUUUUCUCUUUUUUUCUUUUUCUUUUGUCAUUUUACAAAAAAAAAAAAUAUAUAUAUCGUAUUUGUUACAAUUUUUUAAUAUUUAAAUUUAUUCGUAUGUAUUUGUCACAUGUAUUAUUUGUAUUGAAAAUUAAGAUCAUUUUUGGAAAGAGAAAAAAGAGUUGAAAGAGAUUAUUUUCUCUAUAUAUAGUAUAUAGAUAUAGAUUAUUAUUAUUAUUAUUAUUAUUAUCCUUUACUGUGACGAGUCAUCUUACGUUAUUUUUCGCAUAUUUUUCAGUCAUUUUAGUAAUUAUUUCAUCCAAAUUAUAAAAGUUUUUAAACAAUUGCCUAUAGUUUAUGAGACAUUUUGUAAUAUUUUCGUCUCGUUAGCAUGUUAGUUUUGUAAUUAAUUAUAUUAAUUGUAUAAUCUGCUAUAUAAUUUAUCACAUUCUUUAUGAUUCAAUGGACUGUCAAUAUAUUCCUAAGGGUUCGAAUGCCCUCUAGAAAGGCUAAGGCGCCCUCCUAGUAAAAAGACUUGAAGCCCACAUUACUUGGGGCUUAAGUCACGAAAAAUCAAGCCCACGGAGGACAAUAAAUACACCUCUUAAGAGAAUUCUCAAGCCAUCACAUAAACAGUCUAAAGCCUAGAUUCUAAUAUUGUACUCACUCCAAGUAUACCGAAUGAUUUCAUAAAAUAAAUAUAUUGAUCCUAUAAUAUGUUUCGCUUAUGAAUAAGAAAUUGACUCACUUAGAAGGCACGGGUUCAACUACCAUUUCCAACGUGAGGACCUUGUGCGGAGGGUGUGUACCUUUUUUCUUCAUAAUGCAUGGUGCACAUAGAACUAUUGCAUUUUUCACUAUUUUCUUCAAUCUUCAUGUGUUUUUAAUCCUUGAUAUGAGGUUGGGAUUUGAGACAGAAUUCCAAAGUUUCUUGAACUUCAAAAUUUUCAUCGUACUUGAUCCUACUUGCUUUUAUAACUUCUAUAAAGAUGUCUUUUGUUGGCUUAGUCCCAUGAUCUAUACCCAAAGAGACUCAAAACACCUAUCGAAUGUUCUAGUGAGGGAAGAAACAUAAAUAUUAAAUAUAAUGACACAAAACAUAGCAUGACAAAAGAAGAAAUGACACGAUAAAAUUUUAAAAUAAAUCAUUUGAUGAGGAAUCAUCACCUUCCCUGACCCUAUAGUGAAUCCCUCACCUAAAAUAUUUUUCACAAAAUAAUAAAAUAAAAAAUCUCUUUACUAUAACGAAAGGUUAAAA